Molecule: ribosomal RNA, 649 nt
Filed under: Haematobacter massiliensis
Lineage: Bacteria; Pseudomonadati; Pseudomonadota; Alphaproteobacteria; Rhodobacterales; Paracoccaceae
Description: bacterial SSU rRNA
Rfam family: Bacterial small subunit ribosomal RNA
Source: RNAcentral
CGAGAUCUUCGGAUCUAGCGGCGGACGGGUGAGUAACGCGUGGGAACGUGCCUCUUGCUACGGAAUAGCCCUGGGAAACUGGGAGUAAUACCGUAUGUGCCCUUCGGGGGAAAGAUUUAUCGGCAAGAGAUCGGCCCGCGUUGGAUUAGGUAGUUGGUGGGGUAAUGGCCUACCAAGCCGACGAUCCAUAGCUGGUUUGAGAGGAUGAUCAGCCACACUGGGACUGAGACACGGCCCAGACUCCUACGGGAGGCAGCAGUGGGGAAUCUUAGACAAUGGGCGCAAGCCUGAUCUAGCCAUGCCGCGUGAGCGAUGAAGGCCUUAGGGUUGUAAAGCUCUUUCAGCGAGGAAGAUAAUGACUGUACUCGCAGAAGAAGCCCCGGCUAACUCCGUGCCAGCAGCCGCGGUAAUACGGAGGGGGCUAGCGUUGUUCGGAAUUACUGGGCGUAAAGCGCACGUAGGCGGACUGGAAAGUCAGAGGUGAAAUCCCAGGGCUCAACCCUGGAACUGCCUUUGAAACUCCCAGUCUUGAGUUCGAGAGAGGUGAGUGGAAUUCCGAGUGUAGAGGUGAAAUUCGUAGAUAUUCGGAGGAACACCAGUGGCGAAGGCGGCUCACUGGCUCGAUACUGACGCUGAGGUGCGAAAGCGU